RNAcentral lists this ribosomal RNA (441 nucleotides) under uncultured organism. RNAcentral describes it as "bacterial SSU rRNA". It matches the Rfam family "Bacterial small subunit ribosomal RNA", at positions 346 to 780 of the family's 1533-position model. The record is from RNAcentral.
GUGCACCAGUCGAGAAUUUUUCUCAAUGGGGGAAACCCUGAAGGAGCGACGCCGCGUGGAGGAUGAAGGCUUUCGGGUUGUAAACUCCUGUCAUUUGGGAACAAGGUGCACACGUUAACUGCGUGGGUAUUGAUAGUACCAGAAGAGGAAGGGACGGCUAACUCUGUGCCAGCAGCCGCGGUAAUACAGAGGUCCCAAGCGUUGUUCGGAUUCAUUGGGCGUUAAAGGGUGCGUAGGUGGCGCUGUAAGUCGGGUGUGAAAUUUCGAGGCUUAACCUCGAAACUGCAUUCGAUACUGCGGUGCUUGAGGACUGGAGAGGAGACUGGAAUUCAUGGUGUAGCAGUGAAAUGCGUAGAGAUCAUGAGGAGACCAGUGGCGAAGGCGGGUCUCUGGACAGUUCCUGACACUGAGGCACGAAGGCCAGGGGAGCAAACGGGAUUA